This 67-nucleotide transfer RNA is filed under the name marine eukaryotic metagenome. It matches the Rfam family "tRNA", at positions 5 to 66 of the family's 71-position model. From Rfam's summary of the family: Transfer RNA (tRNA) molecules are approximately 80 nucleotides in length. Their secondary structure includes four short double-helical elements and three loops (D, anti-codon, and T loops). The record is from RNAcentral.
GUCGGUAGCUCAGCUGGUAGAGCAGCGGACUUUUAAUCCGUUGGUCGUGGGUUCGAACCCCGCCCGG